CGUAGGGUGCAAGCGUUAAUCGGAAUUACUGGGCGUAAAGCGUGCGCAAGCGGUUUUGUAAGACAGGCGUGAAAUCCCCGGGCUCAACCUGGGAAUGGCGCUUGUGACUGCAAAGCUGGAGUGCGGCAGAGGGGGAUGGAAUUCCGCGUGUAGCAGUGAAAUGCGUAGAUAUGCGGAGGAACACCGAUGGCGAAGGCAAUCCCCUGGGCCUGCACUGACGCUCCUGCACGAAAGCGUGGGGAGCAAACAGGAUUAGAUACCCUGGUAGUCCACGCCCUAAACGAUGUCAACUGGUUGUUGGGUCUCUUCUGACUCAGUAACGAAGCUAACGCGUGAAGUUGACCGCCUGGGGAGUACGGCCGCAAGGUUG
RNAcentral lists this ribosomal RNA (370 nucleotides) under uncultured organism. Its description in RNAcentral is "bacterial SSU rRNA". It matches the Rfam family "Bacterial small subunit ribosomal RNA", at positions 526 to 896 of the family's 1533-position model. The record is from RNAcentral.